UUCUUUGUGCACAUGACGAACCACAACACACUCGAAAUUCUGGAGUAGGUUCCGUACCUUCAGCACUAUUGAGCGGCAAUUGACAGAGAUGUCAAAAUGUCCUAGAAUCUUAGCGACUCCAAAAAGGCUAUCACCCUCCACUUCUAGCUUCCUAAUUCAUCGAGACUUUGCCAACUGUAAUCCAUGGAAUGAGCACCAAACUUUUGACAGCUUCCUAAUUCAUCGAGACUUUGCCAACUGUAAUCCAUGGAAUGAGCACCAAACUUUUGUUGUCAAAAUGGAACACAUUCCAAUACUGAUAAUAAACCCAAACUUCCAUGCUUCGAGCUCAUCACGAAUUAAACCUCUCCCAAAUGCUCUUCUCGAGUCUCCUCCAAAAGAGAGGCAUCUAUAUUCAUUUUAAGAGUAUCACUCAAUGGAGGUCUCCAGCUUAUCAACAUAGACGAUCGCGAGGCUCCCAUCUUAUACCUUCUGUCGAGCGACAACCAACGCCUAAUAAAGUACACCCUAAACACUGAUGGAGCUUUCUCUACAUCGACAAUGGAGGCGAGAGAGGGAGGAUUGGUUCGUGGUUCUGAUGGAGGUCUUCUGCUAGCCUUUUGUUCUCCGGUGGAUGCAUCUUUGAGUUUUGAGGCGGAGCUUAUGGCUCUUAUUCGAGGUUUGGAGAUGGCUUUGGAGUUUUCUACACACAUUUGGAUAGAGCUAGACUCAGCGGCUCUGGUUACUUUAUUGUCAUCUGGACAGCUUGGUUCUGCGGAUUUUAGAGAAGGAAACCGUGCUACCGACUUUCUUGCAGGUAGGGGGGUCCAGACCCCUGCCAUGACAUAUUAUGACUCAGUUUUUGAACUUCGGUAUCUGAAGGCGCUUGUUAGGAUGGACCAGUUGGGAUAUCCUAACUUUCGUAUACGACGUAGAGAUGUGGAUUGAUUGUGACUUCAUGGUAGUUCUUAUCAUUUCACACUUAGUUCUUCCUUUUGUUCAUUUAGUUUCUAGUUUAGUUUUGAUAGCAUGAAGGAUCCCGACUUGUGGGACCUUUAGUUUGUUUUUUCAUGUUCUUGCUUUGGAUUCUAGUCACUUUUGGGCUAGAAUCAUGUUCUGGAACGUUAUAUUUUGAUUUUAUUCACGGGUUGGGGGUCUGCAUAAAACCCCGUCCGCUA
This is a long non-coding RNA of Salvia splendens (bonfire salvia), 1157 nucleotides long. RefSeq lists it as uncharacterized. The transcript is spliced from 2 exons. Lineage: Eukaryota; Viridiplantae; Streptophyta; Magnoliopsida; Lamiales; Lamiaceae. The record is from RefSeq and is a predicted model, not a curated record.